AAGCGCUAUUGAUUAUAUAGUACUAAACUUUCAGCACUUAAACUAUUCAAGUUAUUUCAGUUCGAUCUGAUCAUUUGAUUUCAGCGCAGUCACCGAGAGGAACAAGGUCAAUUUUUGACUUUCGAAUGAUUUCCAAGGUAAUCGAAAAUUUGUUUCGCUAAAAGUGUAUGAGAAUCACGUGAUGUAGAACAUUGAUUAGCAUUUAAGCUUUGUACUUUACAUCUCAUUUCAAUCAGUAAAUGAUUUUCAAAAGGAAAGGUCUAGUAUAAGUUGCUGACCCGAAAUUAAACAAGCCUUAAGCUAACCUGUAGCCAACGGCCCGCCACAGAAAUCGAAUAAUUGCAAUAUCGUCAAUAAAUAACAAUCAAAUUAUACGAUUUGUGGGGGAUCACUUCGUCGGCAUUACUUCCUACGCGGAACAAAACUAACUUCGCAAGUAAGCUGAAGUUAAAGCAUUUACAAGACAGUGUCGGAAACAUAGAGACGCUCCCACGCGAGAACAAGAAUUUCUUCGCCUUUGAAACCAGAUAUUUCGUUUUGUUUGUACAGUGACAGUUGAUUGAUUAAAUUAGUGAUUCUCAUAUUACCUACAUGUAAAGAAGCGAUUACACAUUAGACACACAAUAAACAAUUUGGAAUUACGCCUACGCUUGGUUUAUUAUAACGAGAUGCUAUUUUCCUAUGACGUUAUUGGUUAUUAAUUAGUCAGUUAGAAUCUAAGAAGUCUUACGACUGUACACAUAUGUAGGUUUUAAAGUAUUAACUUUGUAAUUAAUAUCUGUUUUAGGCUAACACAACUCCUGAAGCUAUUAAGCUUUAAUCUCAGUAGUGUUAAAUAAAAGGUUUUAUUUCAAUACUUUCUUUUGAAACCGAGCCAGAGCGCUAUACUUUUAAGCAUAGAGUUAAAACUUAAAUGCAAAGGAUGAACCGACUUUUUAACUGAAGAAUUUCGCGAAGUUCAUGUUGAAGAGCCCCAACCUUACCUGGCACUCAAACUAGAGACUGGCCCAAGACAGACGAGAGUGUAGAGCUUUCGUUGCUGUCCUACAUCUCAGGAGGCAUAAUGGGAAAGAUAGAUGUUGUGAUAUGAUGGAUUUAGCUGGUUUACUGAUUUGAUGAAAAGAUGCUAAUGAUAAUUCUUUUGAGGUCGACGAUAACUCAAAUGGCGUGGAUAACAAAAAAAAAAUAUUUGAAUGCCGGCCAGCAUAGAAACUGGAAACUUCCUGAAUGCUUUAGAAAAGGAUUUCCUGGCCUCAGAUUUGGAGCAAUUGACAAUCCAUGCUGAUGAUGUACACAAGAAGAAAAGUCUCUCCAAACUUCCAAUUAUUUCAAAUUUAAUUGAACUGAUAAGCCAUACUUGUUAAAACUGGCGUUCACUAAACUUUCCUCUAAUCGCUCUACCGUGACUCGUAAUCUUUAAAGCGGUACAUGUCCGAACAGGUAUUUAGCAACCUUAACAUAAUAGAGCGCUAUGUUUUCACAAGACUGACAUUUUUGGCUUUGGUUCAUGAAAAAAAAAACAUGCCAAAAAAAACAUACGACAUUUCUUUAUCAAGCGUUGUGCAAUUACUCAAUGACAAUUAGCACGAUUUUUCAGAGUUCAGGUCAUUCCACUAAUGUUUGUAAGUAGUGGGACGUUCUAAUGUUUCCGCGUCUUUCAGAUAAACCUCAUCAAAAUUGGUUAAUCUGAACCUAUUCCACCACUUAGUAAGCGCUUUGUCUGAUGAAUAAAACUUUUCACUUGGGCGUAGAUUUGUGCAAACACAACACAGAUUACAAGUGUGUCCCCAAGCUCACCUCAGUGAACAGAGCUUAGUUUUAGUGCAGAAGAAGGCGAGCAGAACAAGAAGAAGAAUGGUGUUUAACCCGUUAUUUCAUUCGUGCUUUUUGAUAGCACCUGUCUCGCCCCUCCCGCUUGCCUCAUGCUACCCCUUACCCGCUAAAACGGAGAUAAAUUACGUCUUCUCUGCAGACUAGUUUAUCGAGCGAGAAAUUUGAAAAGUCGCACACACUGACGGGAGGUCGGAAGCGAUACUCUUACACGUUUCAUCGUAAUGAAACGAGCAUAAGCUUCGGCUGCAAGGAAGCGUUACACUCGUGUGACAUUUGAAAGGCUAUAAAGAAGUUUUUGCCACUCUUACUUUGUAGCGCAGCGAAGUACUCUGAGGAUUCCCACUAAUUGCCCCUCAGCCAACGGAAUGUUCCUUUAUGAUAGUUUGUAUGGAAACUAACAUCUACUUGCUAAGGUAGACCCAGCCAUACCUUAUUAGUCUGGAUUGUUCCACCCGUUUUGGCCUAAAUAAACGCUUUAGCUUAAAAUUACGCUUUGGCAACGUUUACCAGCACUGUUUACAACCGGAUAAUCAUAUGCACAAGGAAAAUAUUUGGCUCGAGGUCAGGGCGUACAAACCGAGUUCAGAGAGGUCCGUGCGUCAUGAACGAGAGUCAAGUAUUUUCCCAUCCGGCCUUCCCAGUGCAUAUGAUUAUCCGUUAUAACUUGGCUAACCCAACUCAUUCAAUAAGUAUUUUAUCAUGUGACCACUGAUUAAAAAUUCGAAAAGUUUGUUUAGCUUAAAUAGGACGCG
Molecule: long non-coding RNA, 2585 nt
Filed under: Stylophora pistillata
Lineage: Eukaryota; Metazoa; Cnidaria; Anthozoa; Scleractinia; Pocilloporidae
Description: uncharacterized LOC111330751
Source: RNAcentral